AUACGGAGGGUGCAAGCGUUAUUCGGAAUCACUGGGCGUAAAGGACGCGUAGGCGGGUUGGCAAGUCAGAUGUGAAAUCCUACAGCUUAACUGUAGAACUGCAUUUGAAACUGCUAACCUAGAGUAUGGGAGGGGGAGAUGGAAUUAGUGGUGUAGGGGUAAAAUCCGUAGAUAUCACUAUGAAUACCGAAAGCGAAGGCGAUCUCCUGGAACAUAACUGACGCUAAGGCGUGAAAGCGUGGGGAGCAAACAGGAUUAGAAACCCUAGUAGUCC
Molecule: ribosomal RNA, 274 nt
Filed under: uncultured bacterium
Lineage: Bacteria
Description: partial 16S ribosomal RNA
Rfam family: Bacterial small subunit ribosomal RNA
Source: RNAcentral